RNAcentral lists this ribosomal RNA (496 nucleotides) under uncultured bacterium. RNAcentral's name for it is "bacterial SSU rRNA". It matches the Rfam family "Bacterial small subunit ribosomal RNA", at positions 37 to 518 of the family's 1533-position model. The record is from RNAcentral.
UGAACGCGUAGCGGCAGGCUUAACACGAUGCAAGGUCAGGGGCAUCGGGAGUAGCAAUACUUGCCGGCGACCGGCGCAAGGGUGCGUAACGCGUGAGCAACAUGCCCGUAUCAGGGGGAUAAUCCAUGGAAACGUGGUCUAAUACCCCAUAGUAAUUAUGUAAGGCAUCUUAUAUAAUUUAAAGCUUUGGUGGAUACGGAUUGGCUCGCGUGACAUUAGCUAGGAUGGUAAGGUAACGGCUUACCAUGGCUACGAUGUCUAGGGGUUCUGAGAGGAAGGUCCCCCACACUGGAACUGAGACACGGUCCAGACUCCUACGGGAGGCAGCAGUGAGGAAUAUUGGACAAUGGAUGGAAAUCUGAUCCAGCCAUGCCGCGUGCAGGAAGACGGCCCUAUGGGUUGUAAACUGCUUUUGUAUGGGAGCAAUAAGGGCUACGCGUAGUCCGAUGAGAGUACCAUACGAAUAAGCACCGGCUAACUCCGUGCCAGCCGCGGC